UACGGAGGAUCCAAGCGGUAUCCGGAUUUAUUGGGUUUAAAGGGUGCGUAGGCGGAUUGAUAAGUUAGAGGUGAAAUGUCCGAGCUCAACUCGGGAACUGCCUCUAAUACUGUUGAUCUAGAGAGUAGAUGCGGUAGGCGGAAUGUAUGGUGUAGCGGUGAAAUGCUUAGAGAUCAUACAGAACACCGAUUGCGAAGGCAGCUUACCAAUCUAUAUCUGACGUUGAGGCACGAAAGCGUGGGGAGCAAACAGG
This 253-nucleotide ribosomal RNA is filed under the name uncultured bacterium. Its description in RNAcentral is "partial 16S ribosomal RNA". It matches the Rfam family "Bacterial small subunit ribosomal RNA", at positions 524 to 776 of the family's 1533-position model. The record is from RNAcentral.